This 458-nucleotide ribosomal RNA is filed under the name uncultured bacterium. RNAcentral describes it as "bacterial SSU rRNA". It matches the Rfam family "Bacterial small subunit ribosomal RNA", at positions 29 to 507 of the family's 1533-position model. The record is from RNAcentral.
AACGAACGCUGGCGGCAUGCCUAACACAUGCAAGUCGAACGAAGCCUUCGGGCUUAGUGGCGCACGGGUGCGUAACGCGUGGGAAUCUGCCCUUGGGUUCGGAAUAACAGUUAGAAAUGACUGCUAAUACCGGAUGAUGUCUUCGGACCAAAGAUUUAUCGCCCAAGGAUGAGCCCGCGUAGGAUUAGGUAGUUGGUGGGGUAAAGGCCUACCAAGCCGACGAUCCUUAGCUGGUCUGAGAGGAUGAUCAGCCACACUGGAACUGAGACACGGUCCAGACUCCUACGGGAGGCAGCAGUGGGGAAUUUUGGACAAUGGGCGCAAGCCUGAUCCAGCAAUGCCGCGUGCAGGAAGAAGGCCUUCGGGUUGUAAACUGCUUUUGUACGGAACGAAAAGGUCUGGGUUAAUACCCUGGGCUCAUGACGGUACCGUAAGAAUAAGCACCGGCUAACUACGUG